RNAcentral lists this ribosomal RNA (2172 nucleotides) under Trichosporon faecale. RNAcentral's name for it is "bacterial LSU rRNA". It matches the Rfam family "Bacterial large subunit ribosomal RNA", at positions 1 to 2263 of the family's 2925-position model. Lineage: Eukaryota; Fungi; Basidiomycota; Tremellomycetes; Trichosporonales; Trichosporonaceae. The record is from RNAcentral.
CUUAUAAUAAAUUAUAGUUUUUCGUUUUUUACAUAGAAUAAAUUAGUUAUUAAUAUAUGUUAAUAAUAAGUUAUAUUAUUAAUAUUAGUUUCUAUACUUUUAAUUAAUAUAAAUAUUAAAAGUAUGAUAAAUAUGGAUAAUCAGGUGUAAUUAAUUAAAGUGAUUAUUAAGAAUGCCUAGCAAACAUUUAUUAAAGGAGGUUUACAACCAAAAGCUAUAUUAUACGACAAAUAUGUAGCGAUCCUAGGGAAAACCUAAAAAUAUUUUACGCAGUGAAUUGAAACAUCUUAGUAACUGUAGGAAAGGAAAUCAACAGAGACUCUAUUAGUAGUGGUGAGCGAAAAUAGAUUAGCCUAUAAAUUAUUAUUAUAUUAUAGAAAAUAUUGGAAUAUAUUCAAAAAAGGUAAUAGGCCUGUAUAUAAUAUAAUGCAAUAAAAUCAAUUAGAGUGGAAGAUAAUCUGCUUGAAUAUUGGGGAACCAUCCUCAAAGGCUAAGUAUAAAUGUUUAGCGAUAGUGAAGUAGUAACGUGAGUGAACGGUGAAAUAGUAAGUAGUUAACUAGUGAAAAAGAUCUGAAUUAGUAAUCAUAUAAGCAAUUAGAGCUAUUUCUUUAGAUUAUUAUCUUUAGUAAUUGUGAUAAUGUACCUUUUGUAUAAUGGGUUAGCGAGUUAAUAGUAGUAGCAAGGUUAUAAACCCUAGUGAAAGCGAUUAAUGCUAUAUAACUAUUAGUACGCUUGUAAAAAGCUGCUUUUAAGUGUUAGUAUGUAAUAUAGUUACUAUUAUUAGACCCGAAACACGGUGAUCUAUCCAUAGCCAGACUUAAUUAGGUCGAAUGGGUUAAUGUUGCAGUAUUAUCCAAUGAGCUGUGGAUUGUCGGUGAAAGGCCAAUCUGACCGUGAUAUAGCUGGUACUCCUCGAAACAUAUUUUAGUAUGACUUCUUAAAUUAGAUUUACGCGGGUACAGCAAUGACCGCCAUGUGUCAGUCCUUAGGGGCUAUGCACGAAAUAUGGGGGGUUGACAAGACUUUACCGUUGGUGUGUUAAACUCGGAAAUCAACAUAAAUCGAUAAAAGAAUUUCAGACUACUCAUGAUAAGGUGGGUGGUCGAGACGGAAACAGCCGUGAACAUAGAAUAAGGUCCCAAAAUAAUGGUUAAGUGAAAUAAAGGCAGUUAUGGUUCAUAUACAACUAUAAAGUUAGCUUGGAAGUUGCUAUCUUUUAAUGAAAGUGUAACAACUUAGUAGUCUAUUGAAACUUAGCGCCGAAAAUUAACGGGUCUAGAUUAUUUACCGAAACUAUGUCGAUAUUGUUUAUAAAUAAUAUUAGGGUAGAGGAGCAUUCAGUAUGAGUGAAGAAUAGUCUUUGAUUAUUUGGACAUUACUGAAGAGAAUAUGCUAACAUGAGUAACGUAGAAAGAAGAUAUAAUUCUUCUCGCCGGAUGCGAAAGGGUUUCUAAGAACUGUUAACCAGCUUAGAUUGAAAACGGUCUCUAAGAUAAUUGUAUUAACAUAAUAGUUAUUAUCGAUGAGUUUAUAAUAGAACGAAACCAGGAAAAUAAUAUUAUUCAUUACCGUACCCUAAACUAACACAAGUUCGCUGGUAGAGUAUACUAAGGCGUAGAGAUAAUACUGUAUAAGGAACUCGGCAAAAUGCAUCCGUACACUAGAUAAUAAGGAUGACCCCUAGAGGGUAUCAUAGAAUCGUGAAGCACAACUGUUUACCAAAAACACAGAUAUCUGCUAUGUAAAAAACAUUGUAUAGGUGUCGAAUCUUGUCCGAUGUCAUAAGUAUAAUUAGAGGUACUGAGAGGUAUUUCGAAAAGCUUUGAUCAAUGACAGUCUUAACUAUAAGGAUUUUAACAGUAGCGAAAUUCCUUGGCCGUUAAAUGCGGUCCUGCAUGAAUAGAGUAAUGAUGCUUCAGCUGUCUCAUACAGUAUCUCAGUGAAAUUGAAUUAGCCGUGAAGAUGCGGUUUAGGUGUGGGUAGACGGGAAGACCCUAUGCAGCUUUACUAUACCCUGUCAUGAGCCUGGUCGUUACUAUUAACAGAUAAAUACGGAGGUAUUCGAAGACCCUUAAUUACAUAUAUACUAUGAUUAUUAAGGAUAGAUAAUUAUGGAAAACUCUCAAUAGCCGGCCAGAUUGUUGUUUUUAAUAGAAUGAUAAUGACAGGUU